GAAAGUGAUGGAACCAUGAUUCGUGAAUAUAUUUGAUUCGUGUAGAUUGCAACCUUUAAGUUGCAGAGGUCAGGACACCACUUUGGUUAUCUCAUGCGCUUACUUGAAUGUAGUUUCUCCACAGAUUGAUAACCCAAGGACUGAAGAGAUGGUUGUGGUGACCCUGAGAACACACGGAGAAGCUGGAAGAAAAAGACAUAUUUAGGAUUAGUUGUCUGUAAUAUGUUUUUUUUUUUUUCUAUUUUGUUGUGUGUGUAUCAAUUUGCUUAUCAUUUGGAUUCAAACAAGGUUUGUAUGUAUAAAUAAUCAAACUUUAAGACGUGAAAGUUCUACCGAUCGAGAGAAUUAAAAAUCUCUCCGAUCUUCUUUUAUUUAAAUUAAUAUAUAGUUCACGUUUGAUUUUCUACUA
Molecule: non-coding RNA, 409 nt
Organism: Nelumbo nucifera (sacred lotus)
Lineage: Eukaryota; Viridiplantae; Streptophyta; Magnoliopsida; Proteales; Nelumbonaceae
Source: RefSeq, a predicted model, not a curated record